GUCAGUAUAAAUCAUGUUACCGAAGGAAAAGGGUGUAUUUGUCACUUGCCCUCACCACUUGGCUGAAGUGGUUGUUCCUGGAAAAGAUAGUUGAGUGAGUGGGUAGAUACAACAUCAGUAAGAACUGGAGUUUCACUUUUGUGGCCAAGUGAGAUGAGAUAUCUGAGUAGAACUGUCAGAAAAAAAAUGCAGGGCCAUGCUCAGGAGUUAAUGUUUUCUGGGAGAGGAAAAGGAAACAACAAGAGUGUACUUUGGCCACCUCAUGCGAAGAGUUGACUGAUUGGAAAAGACUCUGAUGCUGGGAGGGAUUGGGGGCAGGAGGAGAAGGGGAUGACAGAGGAUGAGACGGCUGGAUGGCAUCACCGACUCGAUGGAGUAGUCAUGUAUGGAUGUGAGAAUUGGACCAAAAAGAAAGCUGAGUGCCAGAGAAUUGAUGGCUUUUGAACUGUGGUGUUGGAGAAGACUCUUGAGAGUCCCUUGGACAGCAAGGAGAUCAAACCUAAAGGAAGUCCAUCCUAAAGGAAGCCAGUCCUGAAUAUUCAUUGGAAGGACUGAUGGUGAAGCUGAAGCUCCAAUACUUUGGCCACCUGAUGCGAAGAACUGACUCAUUAGAAAGACCCUGAUGCUGGGAAAGAUUGAAGGUGGGAGGAGAAGGGGAUGACAGAGGAUGAGAUGGUUGGAUGACAUUACCAACUUGAUGGACAUGAGUUUGAGCAAGCUCUGGGAAUUGGUGAUGAACAGGGAAGCCUGGUAUGCUGCAGUCCACGGGGUUGCAAAGAGUCAGACACGACUGAAUGACUGAACUGAACACCUCUUUCACAGAGAUUCACAGCAACCACUGGCAUUUUCCCCCUCAGCUUUAUAGAGGUACAAUUAACAAUUACAAAUUGUACAUAUUUAAGUUUAAAAUGUGGUAUUUUCAUUUAUGUGUAUAUUGUGAAAUGAUUUCCACACUCAAGCUAAUUGACAUAUCCAUCACUUUGCAUCAUCAUCUCUUUCUAUGUGAUGAAGAUCCAAGAUUUCAAGUGUAUAAUAUGGUAAUAUUAACUAUAGUCACCAUGCUAUAUAUUAAUUCUCCACAGCUUACUCAUCCUGAAUAACUGAAGCUUUGUACCUUUGAACAAGAUCUCCACAUUUUCCCCACCCCAACACCUGGCAACCACCAUUCUGCUUCUUGCUUUAGUAAGUUAAAAUUCUAAGGUAGUGGGGUGAAAGGACAUGCGCACAUCUUUUUUUGAGAGAGCACCAAAAUCGCAACUAGCUGCUGAACAAUCAUUGACAGGAGAAUGCUGGAACCCACCAAAAAAAGAUACCCCACAUCCAAAGACAAAGAAGAAGCCACAGUGAGACAGUGGGAGGGGUGAAAUCACAAUAAAAUCAAAUCCAAUACCUGCCAGGUAGGUGACCCACAAAUUGGAGAACAGUAAAACCAAGGAAGUUCUCCUACUGUUAUGAAGGUUCUGAACACUACAUCAGGCUUCCCAUCCUGAGGAGCUGGCAAAGGGACUGGGAAUCCCCACGGCAUCUGACCUUGAAGACCAGCAG
Long non-coding RNA from Bos taurus (domestic cattle), 1545 nucleotides. The record is from Ensembl. Lineage: Eukaryota; Metazoa; Chordata; Mammalia; Artiodactyla; Bovidae.